GGGUCCUUAGCUUAAUAGGUAGAGCAUCUAAUUGUCAAUUAGGAUUGUCCCAGUUCGACUCUGGAAGGACUCG
Non-coding RNA from Lentinula edodes (shiitake mushroom), 73 nucleotides. The record is from Rfam. NCBI's taxonomy places the organism in Eukaryota, Fungi, Basidiomycota, Agaricomycetes, Agaricales, Omphalotaceae.